Long non-coding RNA from Aethalodelphis obliquidens (Pacific white-sided dolphin), 893 nucleotides. RefSeq lists it as uncharacterized. NCBI's taxonomy places the organism in Eukaryota, Metazoa, Chordata, Mammalia, Artiodactyla, Delphinidae. The record is from RefSeq and is a predicted model, not a curated record. The transcript has 2 exons.
CCGGUUGCCCUGCUCUCCUGGGAGCCUCGGGACCUACCCCUCCCAGACCUCUGUGGGCCGCAGGCUGGGCUGGGGGCGUCACCGCCCAUAUCCCUGAGAGCCCCAUAGGACAAAGUCUGCAGGCCCUGCGCGCUCCGGUGGCCCUGGCGCGCGCGGGCACUCGCUCGUACCGGAAAGGUUUGGGAUUGAAUGAAGCAACGCGAUUGGAGCCCGCCCGCCGGAGAGCGGGAGAGGAUUCCCCACCCCGCCGAGCCCCACCUCUCUGAAAACGUCUCUUGAACCCGUUUCGCGGUUCCGGGUAAAUGGUUUUGCAAAUGAGCUACUCCGCUACUGGUCCGCGAGACAGAGACUCCGCCCCCAACUUCAGAGAGGCUGCGCUCUUCCAAGGCUGUGGGAUCCUACGCCGAGCCACCGCAAGCUCCGCCCCCGCAAGCUCCGCCCCCGCUUCCGCAGCCCGCGCUCCGGCCGCCACGCCCCCAGCAGUCGCACUUUUACCGUCCCGCGAGGGUGUGUGCGGUGGCCUCUACGGGGCCCCUCACCCCACACCAGGCGGCGUCACUGAGGCCCGGGGAGCCCAAGUGAUUUUUCCCAAAGCCACUCAUCCCUCUAUAUACCUGACAUCGUGCUGGGGACUGUCACAAUAAUACUAAUGAUAACUCCACAGCCACUGGACAACUGGACCACUGGACCAGGUUCUCUCCCAACGUUUUAUUAAGAAUAUUUUCAACAUACAGAAAAAUGGAAAGAAGUCUACAGUGUUCACCCACCACCUAGGAUUCAACGGUUGUUUCCCUUCCGCCAUAUUUGCUUUAUCCCUCUUUACGGGUGUGUGAGGCUUUUGUUUUUUCUGGAUCUUUUUUUUUUAAAUAAAUUUAUUUGAUUUAUUUAUUUUU